UAGAGUUUGAUCCUGGCUCAGGAUGAACGCUGGCGGCGUGCCUAAUACAUGCAAGUCGAGCGAAUGGAUUAAGAGCUUGCUCUUAUGAAGUUAGCGGCGGACGGGUGAGUAACACGUGGGUAACCUGCCCAUAAGACUGGGAUAACUCCGGGAAACCGGGGCUAAUACCGGAUAACAUUUUGAACCGCAUGGUUCGAAAUUGAAAGGCGGCUUCGGCUGUCACUUAUGGAUGGACCCGCGUCGCAUUAGCUAGUUGGUGAGGUAACGGCUCACCAAGGCAACGAUGCGUAGCCGACCUGAGAGGGUGAUCGGCCACACUGGGACUGAGACACGGCCCAGACUCCUACGGGAGGCAGCAGUAGGGAAUCUUCCGCAAUGGACGAAAGUCUGACGGAGCAACGCCGCGUGAGUGAUGAAGGCUUUCGGGUCGUAAAACUUUGUUGUUAGGGAAGAACAAGUGCUAGUUGAAUAAGCUGGCACCUUGACGGUACCUAACCAGAAAGCCACGGCUAACUACGUGCCAGCAGCCGCGGUAAUA
RNAcentral lists this ribosomal RNA (538 nucleotides) under uncultured bacterium. Its description in RNAcentral is "bacterial SSU rRNA". It matches the Rfam family "Bacterial small subunit ribosomal RNA", at positions 1 to 525 of the family's 1533-position model. The record is from RNAcentral.